GAAAUGCGAUAAGUAGUGUGAAUUGCAGAAUUCAGUGAAUCAUCGAAUCUUUGAACGCACAUUGCGCCCUUUGGUAUUCCUUAGGGCAUGCCUGUUCGAGCGUCAUCUAAACCUUCAAGCCCUGCUUGGUGUUGGGUGCCUGUCCCGCCUCCGCGCGCGGACUCACCUCAAAUCCAUUGGCGGCCCCCGCGUCGGCCACGAGCGCAGCAGAAACGCGAACUCGUGAGCCCGUCCGGGCGGCUCCCAGAAGCUACACCCACCCAGUUUGACCUCGGAUCAGGUAGGGAUACUCGCUGAACUUAAGC
Molecule: unclassified non-coding RNA, 305 nt
Filed under: plant metagenome
Description: partial contains 5.8S ribosomal RNA, internal transcribed spacer 2, and large subunit ribosomal RNA
Rfam family: 5.8S ribosomal RNA (bases 1-105)
Source: RNAcentral